Molecule: long non-coding RNA, 579 nt
Organism: Galeopterus variegatus (Sunda flying lemur)
Lineage: Eukaryota; Metazoa; Chordata; Mammalia; Dermoptera; Cynocephalidae
Exons: 2
Source: RefSeq, a predicted model, not a curated record
CUGAAGAAGACCAUGAAAGAGCACAUCAAAUGGUUUUACUGAGAAAGCUUUGUCUGCCAAUGUUGUGUUUUCUGCUUCAUACAAUAUUGCAUAGUACCGGGCAAUAUCAGGAAUGCCUACAGUUAGCAGAUAUGGUAUCCUCUGAGCGCCACAAGCUGUAUCUGGUAUUUUCUAAGGAAGAACUAAGGAAGUUGCUACAGAAGUUAAGAGAAUCCUCUCUAAUGCUUCUAGACCAGGGACUUGACCCAUUAGGAUAUGAAAUUCAGUCAUAAUAUAAUGUAAUCUUUGUAAUCUCACUAAUUUUCAUGAUAAGUGGGUUUUUUUGUAGAAUAUACAUUUUGUAAUUACUGGAUUUUUUCUUUUGCAUUAUUCUGAGGGGAAAUGUAAAAUUUAGACAUUUGAAUUUUGUUCUUUUCAGAAUAUUAUGGUGACAGUUGAAAAUUUAAUGUAUUAUAUCAGUAUUUCCCUAAGUGUGUUUAUUAAUAAAAUUAUGUAAAAAUUAAAAUGACUUGUACUUAGCGAUUCCAGGAUUGUCUCUAUAUUAUGUAAUAAGGAAAUUAAAUUUCUCUCUUAAUAUUG